This 221-nucleotide ribosomal RNA is filed under the name uncultured bacterium. RNAcentral describes it as "partial 16S ribosomal RNA". It matches the Rfam family "Bacterial small subunit ribosomal RNA", at positions 96 to 334 of the family's 1533-position model. The record is from RNAcentral.
CGGCGGACGGCUGAGUAACACGUUGGUACCUGCCCCAAACUCGGGAAUAAGCGCUGGAAACGGCGUCUAAUGCCCGAUAGUCUCUUCGGAGUAAAGCUUUUGCGGUUUGGGAGGGGCCUGCGCAUGAUUAGCUUGUUGGUGAGGUAACGGCUCACCAAGGCUUCGAUCAUUAGAUGGUCUGAGAGGAUGAUCAUCCAGACUGGGACUGAGACACGGCCCAG